GCCUCGGUAGCGCAGUAGGCAGCGCGUCAGUUUAAUAAUCUGAAGGUCGUGAGUUCGAUCCUCACUCGGGGCA
This 73-nucleotide transfer RNA is filed under the name Dermacentor andersoni. RNAcentral describes it as "transfer RNA isoleucine (anticodon AAU)". It matches the Rfam family "tRNA". Rfam says of the family: Transfer RNA (tRNA) molecules are approximately 80 nucleotides in length. Their secondary structure includes four short double-helical elements and three loops (D, anti-codon, and T loops). Lineage: Eukaryota; Metazoa; Arthropoda; Arachnida; Ixodida; Ixodidae. The record is from RNAcentral.